GAUGAACGCUGGCGGCGUGCCUAAUACAUGCAAGUCGAGCGAACAGACGAGGAGCUUGCUCCUCUGACGUUAGCGGCGGACGGGUGAGUAACACGUGGAUAACCUACCUAUAAGACUGGGAUAACUUCGGGAAACCGGAGCUAAUACCGGAUAAUAUAUUGAACCGCAUGGUUCAAUAGCGAAAGACGGUUUUGCUGUCACUUAUAGAUGGAUCCGCGCCGCAUUAGCUAGUUGGUAAGGUAACGGCUUACCAAGGCAACGAUGCGUAGCCGACCUGAGAGGGUGAUCGGCCACACUGGAACUGAGACACGGUCCAGACUCCUACGGGAGGCAGCAGUAGGGAAUCUUCCGCAAUGGGCGAAAGCCUGACGGAGCAACGCCGCGUGAGUGAUGAAGGUCUUCGGAUCGUAAAACUCUGUUAUUAGGGAAGAACAAAUGUGUAAGUAACUAUGCACGUCUUGACGGUACCUAAUCAGAAAGCCACGGCUAACUACGU
Molecule: ribosomal RNA, 496 nt
Filed under: uncultured bacterium
Lineage: Bacteria
Description: partial 16S ribosomal RNA
Rfam family: Bacterial small subunit ribosomal RNA
Source: RNAcentral